AUGCUCAUCUACGCUCACCCAUAUCUUAUAAAAUAAGCUCAUUGCUGUCCUCGGUAGUACCUUCACGGUUUCCCGAAGCGUUCGGCGCCGAGGUCGCGGUCGUGGGUGCUGCGGGCGAUGGCUUAGUUAUGACUCGCGUAUUGCAUGUGACUGCAACUGGUAUUCACAAUUUAUGCGCCGUGAUUAACGUGUGUAACAGCUGCGCCAGCCGCGACCUCUGCGCUCUACGAACUUCCCUUACUCGUGGUCUCUGUCGGUUGUUAACGUAACGCAGCGAAAAGAAAUAUUCUCUAGCGUUUCAGUGUAUUUAAAACAAUGCAAUUGUCUCGCUGCGUUACGAAGCUGACCGGCGAAGGCCUUGUCAAAGCACACGUACAUCGACGGCAGAGCACUCAGUACAAGGUGCGAGACCGCGCUCGCCACUGAGCCGGUGCGCAUAUUGUUUUAGACAUAAUUGAUACCUAGUUAUGUUUGUUUCAACUGUGAUUAUUUAGUUGUACAACUCUGAUGAUUACAUAAAAGAAUGAAUAAAAAUGUAAAAAAGUUGA
Molecule: long non-coding RNA, 548 nt
Organism: Cydia amplana
Lineage: Eukaryota; Metazoa; Arthropoda; Insecta; Lepidoptera; Tortricidae
Exons: 2
Source: RefSeq, a predicted model, not a curated record